GGGGGCGAACUGGCUUCGACGGGUUUAGUGAAGGUGGAGCAGCGUGCCGAGGGCGCCCGGACCCUCGUAAAUCAACCGGGCAAAAUCACAACUGCCAACGACAACUUGGCACUGGCUGCUUAAACAUUAAGUAGCCCGUCUCUUGAUCGACCGGGCCCGAGGUCGGUCUCGAGGCGUCGAUAAAUCGGGCUGGCCGGCCACGUGGCCGCGGCGUGUCCGGUGAGAUCUUACAGCGGCUAGCUUCCGGAGAGGCCGCCUAUCGGCCGAUGCGGGGCGAACCAACGAACGGUAGGCUACGCACGUAGCGGCUCUGCCGGAUCUAUUUCCGGACGCGGGUUCGAUUCCCGCCGCCUCCAUCA
RNAcentral lists this transfer-messenger RNA (359 nucleotides) under Gemmatimonadota. RNAcentral's name for it is "KS3-K002 sp011774835 Standard tmRNA". It matches the Rfam family "transfer-messenger RNA". Rfam says of the family: Bacterial tmRNA, also known as 10Sa RNA or SsrA, is named for its dual tRNA and mRNA-like properties. Its role is to liberate the mRNA from a stalled ribosome. To accomplish this part of the tmRNA is used as a reading frame that ends in a translation stop signal. The record is from RNAcentral. Lineage: Bacteria; Pseudomonadati. RNAcentral also lists the same sequence under 2 other names.